Molecule: ribosomal RNA, 256 nt
Filed under: uncultured bacterium
Lineage: Bacteria
Description: partial 16S ribosomal RNA
Rfam family: Bacterial small subunit ribosomal RNA
Source: RNAcentral
UAAUACGUAGGGGGCAAGCGUUAUCCGGAAUUACUGGGUGUAAAGGGUGCGUAGGUGGCAUGGUAAGUCAGAUGUGAAAACUUGGGGCUCAACUUCAAGAUUGCAUCUGAAACUGCUAAGCUAGAGUGCAGGAGAGGAAAGCGGAAUUCCGAGUGUAGCGGUGAAAUGCGUAGAGAUUCGGAGGAACACCAGUAGCGAAGGCGGCUUUCUGGACUGUAACUGACACUGAGGCACGAAAGCGUGGGGAGCGAACAGG